GUGUCAGCCGCCGCGGUAAUACGGGGGGGGCAAGCGUUGUUCGGAAUUACUGGGCGUAAAGGGCGCGUAGGCGGUUUGCUAAGUUGGAUGUGAAAACUCUGGGCUUAACCCAGAGCCUGCAUCCAAAACUGGCAAGCUGGAGUUUUGGAGGGGGAAGCGGAAUUCCUGGUGUAGCAGUGAAAUGCGUAGAUAUCAGGAGGAACACCGGUGGCGAAGGCGGCUUCCUGGACAAAAACUGACGCUGAGGCGCGAAAGCUAGGGGAGCAAACAGGAUUAGAAACCCUCGUAGUCC
This 292-nucleotide ribosomal RNA is filed under the name uncultured bacterium. Its description in RNAcentral is "partial 16S ribosomal RNA". It matches the Rfam family "Bacterial small subunit ribosomal RNA", at positions 505 to 796 of the family's 1533-position model. The record is from RNAcentral.